Non-coding RNA from Pelobates cultripes (western spadefoot toad), 847 nucleotides. The record is from the annotation of a GenBank genome assembly. NCBI's taxonomy places the organism in Eukaryota, Metazoa, Chordata, Amphibia, Anura, Pelobatidae.
CACCAGUCAUUUUUUAUAUGUUACAUUAAGAAUUUUUUAUUCCUAAAAAUGUAUUAAGGAUAACGUUCUGAUAGCCAGAGAGUAUGCAAAAUGUUUCAGAUAGGGGCCGAUGUGAGGGUCUCGGAGCGUGCCAUUGACAGUUUAAACGGGGCAACCCGUGUCGGGUCCCACAGGCUUUGUGCUGUAGAGGGCCCUUUCGUUGUGGGUAGUUACAGGGAGUUACGUGGGAGUCCCAAGGUUUCCUGCAUGUUGGCUGCUUGUUGUAGAUUUUGUAUCGAGUAGGUAUUUGGAUUAUCAGUGGUGACUGCCACCGGUAUGGGAUGUCGUUGGCUCUAAGUUGACUUGUGAGGGGCUGCAGGAAUUUCCUCCAUUGCAUGGUAGAUCUGCAUAGAUCCUCUCUGCUUUGGGAUCUAAAAGUUGCCUUCAAAUGUGAUAUUCUUGGCCAAUUUGGGCGGUUGGAGAGACCCCACCAUUGUUCUUAUAAGGUGGGGGAGCUCUGCGUUUGGGAUCCCCUCUGGUAGCCCACGCAGUUUGAGAUUGGUGUGGCGUCUUGCAUCCUCCGUCUGAGCAAAGCGCUGUUCUAAGGCUGCAUAUUGUUUUUUCAGUGCUUGUUCCUGUUUCCAGGGGCCCGGGUGUCUGCGUGUGGCAGCUCUGACGCCGCUGUCAUAAUUCAGUUUUUAAAGAAUAAACCUGCCUGGUGCUUUCUGAGUAAACUGCUUAUAAAAACAAUUCCAAGCCAAUAUUCAUUCACUCAUACAAGUUACAUUUUAUCUAAUACAAAUUAUAGACCAAACUAGCACAAGUGAAAAAUCAAUCAAUCUCCACGUCACAUUCUUUCAGUUUAGUA